AUAAUUCUAAAAGUGCGUUUUACACUAUUCUUGUGUCUUCAGGAUUUCAGGCUGUCAGGAAGAAUGAAAUCACAACCAAAGUCACUUAACGUACACUGAACAACUUCUGAAUAACAGAUUUUCCAGCAAUUUAGCAAACACAACUGAUAAACUUUUCCUUGUCUUUCUUCCAUGUUUGUCUUAGAUGAUAACUGCAGAAGGAGAUUUGAGGUUUUCUAUCUCCCCCGUGAGCUAUAAUGGGGCAAACAUCUCACAUAAAAUAUGCGAAGGAUUCUGAAGUGUUUGUAUGAUUCUCUCUCAAUAUUAAUAAGGGAGGAUGUGCAGAUUAAAGCCAUCUGUGAGAUUAAGGUGUCCUGGGGAAUGGAAACAGCAAGAGCAAAGAAGCUAGCAGCUGGUGGAGUGCAUUUACCCUGACAUGGCAGCAUGGGAAGGAUGGCCUGGUGGGAAAAUGAGGCUGUCUUAUGGACAAGACAAGUAGCAUGUGAGUGUGAAUAGCAAAACUGGAAUGGAGGGAGAGGGAAAAAAAGUUGUGAGAGAAAGAAAUAUACUCCAGAAUAACAAAAUAAUUGGAAUUAUCAAUAUAAGCUAGCCUACAAGCAACCUGAAUAUUGUUAAUGCCCUGCAGGCAAUUUACUCAAAAGUGUUGUUAUACCCAUAGGUGUGAUGAAAUCCCUCAUAAAGGGCUGAGGGCAAGGCUGGAUUUGGUCCCUUAGGGAUCUGCCUGGUGGUUGUGGAGCUGCAACAGAUCAUAAGAAUCUGAAACUUUGUAUCUCACAGCAUGUCAUGAAUACCCAAGUAUGCCACCUGCCUGCUGCUCUAUCUGCUGUUCGAUGCCCAAAACCUGGACAAGGAUGGAUUCUGUGCAAAACCAAACUGCUGUUCUGUUGCGUGUCGGCAGUUCAGAGUUUUUAGGCCUUCUGUCAUCCACCCUCUGCAGAGAAAGAAAGUAAGUUGGCUUGGAGAGUCCAUCAGAAAUCCUGAGCUUGCACAUCUUGCCACCAGAAACAACCCCUGGGUCUAAUGCCUGGCUGCUGACCCAAAAACUAAGAAAUUGUCAUGAAAAUAGAUGUAACAACUGAUUUCUAUGAUUCAGCUAAAACAACAACAAUAAUAACAUC
This 1118-nucleotide long non-coding RNA is filed under the name Meleagris gallopavo (turkey). Its description in RNAcentral is "lncRNA (ENSMGAG00000022280.1)". Lineage: Eukaryota; Metazoa; Chordata; Aves; Galliformes; Phasianidae. The record is from RNAcentral.